GACGAACGCUGGCGGCGUGCUUAACACAUGCAAGUCGAACGGAGAGGCCCUUCGGGGUACUCGAGUGGCGAACGGGUGAGUAACACGUGGGUGAUCUGCCCUGCACUUUGGGAUAAGCCUGGGAAACUGGGUCUAAUACCGAAUAGGACCACGCGCUUCAUGGUGUGUGGUGGCAAGCUUUUGCGGUGUGGGAUGGGCCCGCGGCCUAUCAGCUUGUUGGUGGGGUAAUGGCCUACCAAGGCGACGACGGGUAGCCGGCCUGAGAGGGUGACCGGCCACACUGGGACUGAGAUACGGCCCAGACUCCUACGGGAGGCAGCAGUGGGGAAUAUUGCACAAUGGGCGCAAGCCUGAUGCAGCGACGCCGCGUGAGGGAUGACGGCCUUCGGGUUGUAAACCUCUUUCACCAGGGACGAAGCGUAAGUGACGGUACCUGGAGAAGAAGCACCGGCCAACUACGUG
This 462-nucleotide ribosomal RNA is filed under the name uncultured bacterium. RNAcentral describes it as "partial 16S ribosomal RNA". It matches the Rfam family "Bacterial small subunit ribosomal RNA", at positions 28 to 507 of the family's 1533-position model. The record is from RNAcentral.